GAGUUUGAUCCUGGCUCAGAUUGAACGCUGGCGGCAGGCCUAACACAUGCAAGUCGAGCGGUAGAGAGAAGCUUGCUUCUCUUGAGAGCGGCGGACGGGUGAGUAAUGCCUAGGAAUCUGCCUGGUAGUGGGGGAUAACGCUCGGAAACGGACGCUAAUACCGCAUACGUCCUACGGGAGAAAGCAGGGGACCUUCGGGCCUUGCGCUAUCAGAUGAGCCUAGGUCGGAUUAGCUAGUUGGUGAGGUAAUGGCUCACCAAGGCGACGAUCCGUAACUGGUCUGAGAGGAUGAUCAGUCACACUGGAACUGAGACACGGUCCAGACUCCUACGGGAGGCAGCAGUGGGGAAUAUUGGACAAUGGGCGAAAGCCUGAUCCAGCCAUGCCGCGUGUGUGAAGAAGGUCUUCGGAUUGUAAAGCACUUUAAGUUGGGAGGAAGGGCAGUAAAUUAAUACUUUGCUGUUUUGACGUUACCGACAGAAUAAGCACCGGCUAACUCUGUGCCAGCCGCC
This 512-nucleotide ribosomal RNA is filed under the name uncultured bacterium. RNAcentral's name for it is "bacterial SSU rRNA". It matches the Rfam family "Bacterial small subunit ribosomal RNA", at positions 9 to 516 of the family's 1533-position model. The record is from RNAcentral.